Long non-coding RNA from Gadus morhua (Atlantic cod), 221 nucleotides. RefSeq lists it as uncharacterized. Lineage: Eukaryota; Metazoa; Chordata; Actinopteri; Gadiformes; Gadidae. The transcript has 3 exons. The record is from RefSeq and is a predicted model, not a curated record.
AUCCAUACGACUUCAAGGAGGACCUGGAGUACACCUUCUCCUCCUCCAAGAGACUCAGGGGCCAGGGAAGGGAACCAAGCAGGAGGGACAAGGGUGAGGACAUCACAACCAACAGCGCCCACCUGGACGUGAACGACGCCAUGUCAAUUUUCAGCUCUGCCCCCAAAUCAGUUGAAACGGGCCAAGAUGAAGGAUCCGCCAAAACAAACCCUUCCCUGACC